UAAUUAUCAAUAAAGCUCUAUCAGCAUCCAUGCAGAUCUAUUUGUUGACAUAAAUUUUCAACUUAUUUGAGAGUUAUUUUUAAUAGGUACACAUUCUCAUUUUACAGGAUGAAAACAGUUCUGUGGAUGGAUGAUGGCGAUGGGAGCAUGAUAGUGUGAAUGUGCUUAAUGCCACUGCACUGUACAUUUUUAAAUGGUUAAGAUGUGAGCCAGAAGCCUCCGUAUGUCAGCAAAUCCACUGGUGCCGUGACUUCCCACUGAGCCUCCUGACUUCCUGUUCUGCACUGGCUUGUCUGCUUCCCGGACCUGCUGCACAACUUGCUCCGAGUCCUAUACUUGACCUCCUGCUUUUAGAUCCCAUGCCUUCCAUGCCAUUGGUUUACAAGUUUAUUUUCCUGGGGUACUUCCUUCAGGAACGUUCAAGGAGAGAGCAAAGAAGGAUUCUUCAGGAAACGGAGGAUACACUUUUCUGGGAUUUAGAAGAGAAUCUCAUGAAGGGCCUAUUUCCAGCGGUGUGGACCGGGCUAAAGGAACCAACAAGGGAUGUCGAGGGACCCAGGUGCCAGCCAGAGUGGCCUGAGACAGCAAGGGUGAGAAAGCACUGGAGCUGUCAUCUUCCUGGGACUCAGUCCUUGACAGGGCGGGAGGGCGUAGAGGUAGAAAUAACCUGGCAACUCCCUCUUUUUGCUCUCUGGGCUUCACCUGCUGACGAAAUCCAACCAAAAGCAAGAGAAGGACAUCAGUGCAGCUGGCCUGCGUGGGUCAACCCCUGAGGCUGGCAGCUAUAGAAGGACAGAGAAAGAGCAGAGCAGGGGAGGAAAAGGAACAGAACCAGCUGCCUCACAAUACAAAAUUGUUGGUGUGGGCUUAAUUUGGAGAGAAUCGAAAAGCUAUUUGGUAACCAACCACUGGACUUGGGAUAAUGGUAUCUCCCAUUCCAACUGUUCUCUAAGUUUUCCAUUCAGUAUUUUCUUUAGGUUUAUAAAUUCUGUGUACCAAGGACUACUUGGUGGUUCUGCUUGCAAAGAACCUAUAUUUGCACAUUUAGGAAUUUCUAAACAGAGAUGGAGAUUAGAGUCUCUUCACAACUGAAGUAAAACAGAAAUGUUCAUGUUUUUCUUUAAACACUUUCUAGUGUUAGCAAGUUAAUUUAAAAUGUAAGUGAAAAUCCAUUCUCAAAUCAAUGGUAGCCAUUUAAUUUUGCUGACUUCUUGUGCUUCAGAUUUGAAGUUUAGUGAUCUCUCAGUAAAAUCUUAAAUGUUGAUUUUCUUUUACGACCUAUGAAAGAUGAUACUUUCAGCAAAGUCUUAAGCAUGCAAAUAAAAGUUCAUUUUACUAUUA
Molecule: non-coding RNA, 1341 nt
Organism: Macaca mulatta (Rhesus monkey)
Lineage: Eukaryota; Metazoa; Chordata; Mammalia; Primates; Cercopithecidae
Source: RefSeq, a predicted model, not a curated record